RNAcentral lists this ribosomal RNA (289 nucleotides) under uncultured bacterium. Its description in RNAcentral is "partial 16S ribosomal RNA". It matches the Rfam family "Bacterial small subunit ribosomal RNA", at positions 30 to 297 of the family's 1533-position model. The record is from RNAcentral.
AUUGAACGCUGGCGGCGUGCCUAACACAUGCAAGUCGAGCGGUAACAGGUGUAGCAAUACAUGCUGACGAGCGGCGAACGGGUGAGUAAUGCUUCGGAAUCUGCCCAUGUAGUGGGGAAUAACCAGCCGAAAGGUUGGCUAAUACCGCAUACGACCCUUGCCCACAAGGCAAAGGUAGGAAAGGACAGGGGAGUCGCAAGACCUUGCGCUAUUGGAUGAGCCGAAGUCGGAUUAGCUAGUUGGUAGGGUAACGGCCUACCAAGGCGACGAUCCGUAGCUGGUCGUGAGA